Xiphophorus hellerii (green swordtail) is the source of this 4106-nucleotide long non-coding RNA. RefSeq lists it as uncharacterized. The transcript is spliced from 2 exons. Lineage: Eukaryota; Metazoa; Chordata; Actinopteri; Cyprinodontiformes; Poeciliidae. The record is from RefSeq and is a predicted model, not a curated record.
GGUCCCCAUACUCCCGGUGAGGUUGCCGGUGAUCGGUGACAUCCCGGUGGUCUGAUGAGUCUGAGGCUGGCCGUUUGGUUUCAGCUCGUGUUCCAUCAAGCUGUACAUGUCGGCCAGCAGGUUAGACCGGGUGAUUUAAAUUAAGUUGCUAAUUACCCACGUCACACCCGGGGAACAGAACUAGCCGAGCGAGAUCCACCUUUUCUACUUUACGUGUGAUGCUGUUGGGGAUGUCAUCACUUCUCUACUUCAGGUUUGAAGAGUGUGAACUCCGCGUCCAGCAGCUGUCAAACGGCCCCAGCAUCGCACACUGACGCGACUAUUCUGCCCCGGAGCUCAAACAGACCAACUCUGUGCCGCUGCACAUCAGCAGGAACCAAUGGGAAAGCGAAAAGCUCCAGAGGGCCAUUUGAAUGUGAAUAGCUUCCGACGCAGCAGAGACACUUGUUGAUGACUGAGUUGGGGAAAGGGGGCGUCCUGGUGUCAUGGGGAGGGGGCACAGACCCCAUAUUUAAGAGUAACUUGCAGAAGAUGUUUUUCCACACUGUUCAUUCUCAAAACAAGAUUUUUUUUCUUUACUCUACUUCAUUAUUUUUAGAACAAACCACUUUAGAAGUUCUACUUUUUCCACUUCAACCAUCAUCUACUUCGAACCCGUUAAAUACAAAGGCUCUAGCAGGGCUAUAGUUUACGUUCAAAUGUUCAAAUCUGCUUUCUGAUAACAUCAACAACUAAUGAGCAAUUCCCCGUUAUUACAUUUUCUCAUUAAGAAAGCUAGGUGUUUGACAUUAGCUGUAUAUUAUGGGAUGCCAAUGCACAGUCAAAAAAAUGACUUCGAUAGUUUGGGUUAUUUUGUCUGUCAUAAGAAAAGAAAAUGGUGGUUCAUUUUUCAAAAUCAUGUUUUCCAAGUUAUUAAUUCAUUUAUAAAUGUCACAGUUUCAAACUAAAUAUUUAAUUAGCAAGCUAAAGAAUUAGUUUGAAGGGGGGUUUUUUACGUCCUACAGUACUAAAACGGACAUUUAAGUCCAACAAGACAUCAUGAAAUCAAAACAACUGAGGAAAAAAACGUUUCAGAGACAAAUAGAAUAGCUGUUUUAUUUCUAUCUCAAAAAAUCCCAGAUUUUUCACCAUAUUGAUAGUGAAAUGUUGACUGGAUGAUUGAUGUCCACUUUGUGAACUGAGUUUUACCCACUUUUCACUAUAACUGAGAUUAGAAGUACAAGUAUAGAUCAGUGGUCUCAGACUGUAUCCUCAUGGGCUGGAGUCCUGCAACUUUCAGACGUGUUCUUUGUCCUACACGCUUGAACUAAAUGGGGAAAUUGCUUCUCUAGUAUGCAGUCCAGUUAAUGAGUUAGUAUUGGAGCCAGGUGAGCUGAAGUGGAGACACGUCUAAAAGUUGCCCGACAUCAAUCAGCCCUUGAGGACAGGAGUUUGAGACCAUUGAUAUACUGUAGAUAGUGUGAGUUUGUGAACAGAGUUAUUCCAAUGGUACCUGAAGUUCUGCAGACUAUAAGUCUACGGGUUAUCCUUCCUCCAUGCCUCUAUUUGUGCUUUCUAGCUGUUUUCCUAAGAUAUCAUUUCUGAGAAAUGGUGCGAGUUGUUGAAUGUUUGGGAAUACAUAGAUUUUGUAUUAAUGGCAUUAAUUUUAAACACAUAAUUAAAUUACAUUUAUUGCUUAUGUAUAAAUGUGAGCAAACAGCAAUGUCCUCAAAUCUCAAAUUAGGACUUUCUAACUUGGUAGCAUGACUUCUUGUCUGCCGCUGCCUAUCUGACCUUUGACCUCACUCCACAUCACUGGCUCCAUCACAGAUAGUUAUUUACUGGCUUUCAGAAAACAACUCUAAUGUCUUGAUAGCACUUCACCUAAAAGAAGUGAAGAUUAAUUGCAGGACUACCUGAAUAGCCAAAAAAUUGUACUUAAGGAAGAGUAAAAUUCCUUCAUUAGAUUUACACUGAAAUAGAGGUAAAUAUGCAAAAAAUAUUCAAGAAUAAAAGAUGUUUAGCAAAAAGGUUGCUUAAGCAACAGUGUGAUCAUAACAUCUGAUUUCAUUUGUGAAAAUUAUGUAAUCAAACAGAAACAAAUGUAUAAUUUAAUUUAUUGACAAACCCAGGUAUUUUACAGCGUAAAAUAAAAAACAAGUAAAAUAUCUAUAAAUGUACAAAUUCAAGUAGGGGUAACAAUCUUUUCCAAAUGUGUUUUAUUCACACAUAGAGCUGCUGAAACCAAUACUUACAAUAUGUAAUGUAUAAAUGUUGAAACAGUAAAAGGUACUUCUAGUGACUUCUCUUGACCUCCAAACGGCACAGCAGAGCGUUUUCAGCAGAGAGUUCCCACUGGGCCUGGUGAGGUUGCCAGUGAUCGGUGACAUCCCCCUUGGUGACGGUUUGGUUUCAACUCGUGUCCCAUCAAGUGAAACAUGUUGGGCAGGUGUGGUGAAGAUGACUUAAGAGUCAGAGAAAUACCAAAAUGCAGUCGUGAACCUGGUGACAUUAAGUUUUGUUUCCCAGCAGGUUAGACCGGGAGCUCCAGGUGAGUUAUUACCCAUGUUACACCCACAAAACAAACUAGAUCAGCCAGAUAUACUUUUCCACUGUAAAUACUCCUGGAAGUACUUUCUUUUUUCAAACAGUUGGCACAGACAGCCAUAAAAAGUCUUGACAGACAUGUUGCUCUACUGAGGAUCUUUAACUCGUCUCUCUAAUCAGGUGUUUUCCCCCAGACUUUGAAAACAACAGUUGUCAACCACUGCUGAAAAGAGAACAGGACAAGUCACUAAUCCAAAGUUACAUAACAAUCUCCAAACUUCUAUUCAUCAGCAAGGCUAUUGAGAAAGCAGUAUAUGAACAGUUAAACAGCUGCUAAACAAUGACCAACCACUUUGGUUGAAUGUUUGGGAAUACAAACAUUCCCAAACAUUGGGAUGUUUCCAUGCUCAUCAGAGUGUGGAGACUGCCCUCGUCAAGAUGUUCAGUGACAUCCACAUAAAUACCGACUGUGGAAGAACCACAUUGCUGGUUCUGUUGGACCUCAGUGAAGCAUUCAACCCUGUUGAUCACGGUAUAUUAUUGAAGCGAAUGCAGAACUGGUCCAGACUCUAUAGGGUACUUCGUUGGUUUGAGUUUUCCUCAAAGAACAGGGACUUAAUUGAGCCAAUUGGUAACUUUUUGUUGGAGGAAACAGAAGUCGAAUGUGGGGCUCCCAAUGGUUCCAUCCUGGGGGCCCUCUUAUGUAAUAUCUACUGUACAUGCUCGUGCACAGUGAUGCAGUUGGUAGUACUGCUGCCUUGCAGCAAGAGAGUCCUGGGUUCGAACCCCAGCCCAGGGUCAUACUCUGUACCCCAGCUCUCACCCGUUGAAGAUAGACACUAGUGGAGAUACCACUAGGGAUAAGUGUGUAAGCUAAUCUUCUUCUCUCAUACCAACUACCUUCCUAUCCUCUUUCCCUCCAUGCUCUUUGGUCUUCCUCUGGGUCUCCUGCCUGGCAGGUCCAUCCUCACCAUCCUUCUGCUGAUGUGUUCACCAUCUCUCCUCUUUACACGUCCAAACCAUCUCAGUCUGGCUUCUCUGACUUUAUGUCCAUGAGCUGUUCCUCUGAUGUAUUCAUUCCUGAUCUUAUCCAUCAGGUUGUUCCCAAAGAGAACAUCAGCAUCUUCAUCUCUGCUACCUCCAUCUCUGCCUCUUGUCUGCUUGUCAUUGCAACUGUCUCUAAACCAAGCAGAACAACUUAAACACAGAGAUCCUUUAAAUCAAAGCUUAAAACCUAUUUGAUUACAACCUCAUCCAUUUAAUAACUAAAACAUAGCUUAAUUUUAGACUGUAUUCUAACUUCUUAUUACUUUCCUUAUCCGAUGUUUCAUGUAUUUUUUUUCCAUGUUGCCUUGUUGGUGAAAUGUUCUAUACAAAUCAACUUGUCUUGUUAUAGCUUUUCUGAGUGAGGUAUUUGCUGAGCUGCUAGGCUAACAAUAGCUCCUGACCCAGUCAAUGAACUUUUUUCAUUGAGUAGGACUUAAUAUUAUGACUCACUAACAUAUCCACUGUUUUUUUUCUGCUCCAUUUCUUUGUGUGCAAUCACAACUUAAAUAAAUAAAUAAAGCUUUAUAAAUUAA